GGGAAGAGGAAGGCAGCCGCUAAGCCGCCCACUAGGAAGCGGAUGGACAAGCUCGAUAUGGUCUUUUCCUGCCCAUUCUGCAAUGAUAGGAGCAGCGUUGAAUGCCGGAUGUGAUAUGGAAACCUGAUUGGUGAGGCUAAUUGUGAAAUCUGACAGGAAAGCUUCAGCAGCCAGCACCACUGCAAAUGGUAUGUCCAAAUCAUACAUAAAACUGCAGAUUGUACCUCCUAUAACAUAGACGUAGAUGCCAUAGAUGCCAUACUGAUUGGCUCUCAACUAGAAAAUUAUGCACCGGGCAUCUCAUUUGGUUUUGUUCCUUCUCAACCUAAUGAUUGCAACUCCGGGACAGGGUAUAGCUUAUGUAUACAUUUUGUACAGCCAUGCCCAUUUCAUAUACUCUUGGGGGUUUAA
RNAcentral lists this ribosomal RNA (411 nucleotides) under Triticum aestivum (bread wheat). RNAcentral describes it as "partial small subunit ribosomal RNA". Lineage: Eukaryota; Viridiplantae; Streptophyta; Magnoliopsida; Poales; Poaceae. The record is from RNAcentral.